GUUAUUGUAGCUUAAAAUUUUAAAGCACAGCACUGAAAAUGCUAAGACGGAAAUUUAAAAUUUCCCAGAAACA
Molecule: transfer RNA, 73 nt
Filed under: Tropidophorus hainanus
Lineage: Eukaryota; Metazoa; Chordata; Lepidosauria; Squamata; Scincidae
Description: tRNA-Phe
Rfam family: tRNA
About the family: Transfer RNA (tRNA) molecules are approximately 80 nucleotides in length. Their secondary structure includes four short double-helical elements and three loops (D, anti-codon, and T loops).
Source: RNAcentral